UGGGGAAUAAUGCACAAUGGGCGCAAGCCUGAUGCAGCCAUGCCGCGUGUAUGAAGAAGGCCUUCGGGUUGUAAAGUACUUUCAGCGAGGAGGAAGGCGUUGUGGUUAAUAACCGCAGCGAUUGACGUUACUCGCAGAAGAAGCACCGGCUAACUCCGUGCCAGCAGCCGCGGUAAUACGGAGGGUGCAAGCGUUAAUCGGAAUUACUGGGCGUAAAGCGCACGCAGGCGGUCUGUCAAGUCGGAUGUGAAAUCCCCGGGCUCAACCUGGGAACUGCAUCCGAAACUGGCAGGCUAGAGUCUUGUAGAGGGGGGUAGAAUUCCAGGUGUAGCGGUGAAAUGCGUAGAGAUCUGGAGGAAUACCGGUGGCGAAGGCGGCCCCCUGGACAAAGACUGACGCUCAGGUGCGAAAGCGUGGGGAGCAAACA
RNAcentral lists this ribosomal RNA (427 nucleotides) under uncultured bacterium. RNAcentral describes it as "partial 16S ribosomal RNA". It matches the Rfam family "Bacterial small subunit ribosomal RNA", at positions 355 to 774 of the family's 1533-position model. The record is from RNAcentral.